This 497-nucleotide ribosomal RNA is filed under the name uncultured bacterium. Its description in RNAcentral is "partial 16S ribosomal RNA". It matches the Rfam family "Bacterial small subunit ribosomal RNA", at positions 28 to 507 of the family's 1533-position model. The record is from RNAcentral.
GAUGAACGCUGGCGGCGUGCCUAAUACAUGCAAGUCGAGCGAACGGACGAGAAGCUUGCUUCUCUGAUGUUAGCGGCGGACGGGUGAGUAACACGUGGAUAACCUACCUAUAAGACUGGGAUAACUUCGGGAAACCGGAGCUAAUACCGGAUGAUAUUUUGAACCGCAUGGUUCAAAAGUGAAAGACGGUCUUGCUGUCACUUAUAGAUGGAUCCGCGCUGCAUUAGCUAGUUGGUAAGGUAACGGCUUACCAAGGCAACGAUGCAUAGCCGACCUGAGAGGGUGAUCGGCCACACUGGAACUGAGACACGGUCCAGACUCCUACGGGAGGCAGCAGUAGGGAAUCUUCCGCAAUGGGCGAAAGCCUGACGGAGCAACGCCGCGUGAGUGAUGAAGGUCUUCGGAUCGUAAAACUCUGUUAUUAGGGAAGAACAUAUGUGUAAGUAACUGUGCACAUCUUGACGGUACCUAAUCAUAAAGCCACGGCUAACUACGUG